Non-coding RNA from Hemibagrus wyckioides, 311 nucleotides. RefSeq annotates it as small Cajal body-specific RNA 6. The transcript has a single exon. NCBI's taxonomy places the organism in Eukaryota, Metazoa, Chordata, Actinopteri, Siluriformes, Bagridae. The record is from RefSeq and is a predicted model, not a curated record.
GGUCAGUGAUGAGUUGUAAAAGGUCUGAAGUCAAGAGCUUCAACCCCUCCAGCUCCUCUGGUCCUCCCAGCCCACCUGCUGUGUAUCCCAGCAUGCUCUAGGUGUUUCUGUUGGGGCUUCAUGGUGGCUGAUAUUGAGAGCUAUCUACUCAGUGUGUGUUUGCAAGAGAGACAGCAUGACACACAGAGAAGAAAUGGCUAACAGAACACAUUCACAACACACACACACAUACAUACACACACAUACAUACACAGGAGGGCGGAGCUUCAGGGGAUGAGUGGCUCAUGAUCUCCAGUUUUCAAUCUGAGGCC